RNAcentral lists this small RNA (328 nucleotides) under Pan troglodytes (chimpanzee). Its description in RNAcentral is "processed transcript". Lineage: Eukaryota; Metazoa; Chordata; Mammalia; Primates; Hominidae. The record is from RNAcentral.
ACCAUCUCCCACUCCUGCAGCUCUUCUCACAGGACCAGCCACUAGCGCAGCCUCGAGCGAUGGCCUAUGUCCCCGCACCGGGCUACCAGCCCACCUACAACCCGACGCUGCCUUACUACCAGCCCAUCCCGGGCGGGCUCAACGUGGGAAUGUCUGUUUACAUCCAAGGAGUGGCCAGCGAGCACAUGAAGCGGUGGUGGUAAAUGGAAAUCCCUUCUAUGAGUACGGGCACCGGCUUCCCCUACAGAUGGUCACCCACCUGCAAGUGGAUGGGGAUCUGCAACUUCAAUCAAUCAACUUCAUCGGAGGCCAGCCCCCCCGGCCCCAG